RNAcentral lists this long non-coding RNA (253 nucleotides) under Ananas comosus (pineapple). Its description in RNAcentral is "long non-coding RNA (ACOM_LNC042272)". Lineage: Eukaryota; Viridiplantae; Streptophyta; Magnoliopsida; Poales; Bromeliaceae. The record is from RNAcentral.
NNNNNNNNNNNNGAACAACAUUAGACUACUCACUUGCACCCUAACAGUAUAAAUUUGCAACCAGUACUUUUUCUCAUUUUAUCGAACAAUGAGUAAAAGCUAAUUAUAUUGUUCUAUUAUGCCCCGAGAGUGUAAAUUUGGAACGAUUCGAAGUCAACUUUCACAAGAACCAAAACCGGAACAACAUUAGACUACUCAGUUGCGCCCUAACAGUAUAACAUAGCAACGAGUACUUUUUAUCGUUUAAUCGAAC